RNAcentral lists this small RNA (98 nucleotides) under Tenacibaculum maritimum. Its description in RNAcentral is "Flavo-1". It matches the Rfam family "Flavo-1 RNA". Lineage: Bacteria; Pseudomonadati; Bacteroidota; Flavobacteriia; Flavobacteriales; Flavobacteriaceae. The record is from RNAcentral.
AUUUUGCGUUAGGGAUUGAAGCGAUAUCCUUUUUAUUUAGAAACGUUGUAAAACGAUGACUUGUACAUAAAAAGAUAAAGAGGAAAGCCCGACCUUUA